Molecule: ribosomal RNA, 548 nt
Filed under: uncultured bacterium
Lineage: Bacteria
Description: partial 16S ribosomal RNA
Rfam family: Bacterial small subunit ribosomal RNA
Source: RNAcentral
UGGGGAAUUUUGGACAAUGGGCGAAAGCCUGAUCCAGCAAUGCCGCGUGUGUGAAGAAGGCCUUCGGGUUGUAAAGCACUUUUGUCCGGAAAGAAAUCCUUGGCUCUAAUACAGUCGGGGGAUGACGGUACCGGAAGAAUAAGCACCGGCUAACUACGUGCCAGCAGCCGCGGUAAUACGUAGGGUGCAAGCGUUAAUCGGAAUUACUGGGCGUAAAGCGUGCGCAGGCGGUUUGCUAAGACCGAUGUGAAAUCCCCGGGCUCAACCUGGGAACUGCAUUGGUGACUGGCAGGCUAGAGUAUGGCAGAGGGGGGUUAGAAUUCCACGUGUAGCAGUGAAAUGCGUAGAGAUGUGGAGGAAUACCGAUGGCGAAGGCAGCCCCCUGGGCCAAUACUGACGCUCAUGCACGAAAGCGUGGGGAGCAAACAGGAUUAGAUACCCUGGUAGUCCACGCCCUAAACGAUGUCAACUAGUUGUUGGGGAUUCAUUUCCUUAGUAACGUAGCUAACGCGUGAAGUUGACCGCCUGGGGAGUACGGUCGCAAGAUU